CGCGUAGGCGGCCUGCUAAGUCUGGAGUGAAAGUCCUGCUUUCAAGGUGGGAAUUGCUUUGGAUACUGGUGGGCUGGAGUGCAGGAGAGGAAAGCGGAAUUACCGGUGUAGCGGUGAAAUGCGUAGAUAUUGGGAAGAACACCAGUGGCGAAGGCGGCUUUCUGGACUGUAACUGACGCUGAGGCUCGAAAGCUAGGGUAGCGAACG
Molecule: ribosomal RNA, 207 nt
Filed under: uncultured bacterium
Lineage: Bacteria
Description: partial 16S ribosomal RNA
Rfam family: Bacterial small subunit ribosomal RNA
Source: RNAcentral